GUUACAAAACACACAUAUACAGAGGAGAAAUAACGAGGCUCCAUGGUUUUCACUAAACGAAUAUCAAAAUGUUAUGGCACAGAUGUAAUUAGGCGCCUCCUGCACAGUCACCAACAGAGAUGCCCCUUCAGCUGUGACUCAAAGGGGAGCACUCAGCACAGAUUACAAAAAAAAAUCUAACCUUACUGUUCAGAGGGGCAGUGAGUGCUGUGCUGUCUUUAAGAUGAGGUGCAAAACUGAGGUUCUAUCUGUCAAGUCAGAUUGAAGAGGAUUAGAGAAUGAAGUCUCCGGCAGAGGUUCCCUCUUUAUUUUCUUGUUAAUCUCAGCGUGUCCUGUCCUCAUUCUCUGCAAUGGAGGAAUGGAUCUUAAAGCACCCAGGAGUGACUGAGCAUUGCAGGAGUAAGUCCAAACUACAAAAGCAGCUUGGGCAUCUGAACUCCUAAGAAGUCCAGAAGUACCAAACACUAACCUGGCAUUUAGUCUGUAAGUUAACGGUGACCUCUUUAAACAGCAAUGUGUUAGAGGGGGUAGUGGGAGGGAUCCCUCACACUGUCAAAUACUGAAUCAGAUGUAGAUAGCGGGAUUGCUUUGUCAAGCACCUGUACAAUGUCCUGUGUAUGUUACUCAAAAUGGGUUUUUGGGUUUGUUAAGAGUAGGAAUGCUUCUUUGAUAAGUGUUUCUCUCGCAGUUGUUUUGCUUUAUACUUGUUGAUAUGGUAAUUGUAUUCAUUUGUUAACCAAUGGGGAAUGUUAUUUUGUCUUGUGAGGCUGGGAACUUGGGGGAGGGGUUUUUCGUGGGCUUUUGGUAGAGAGCCGGGAGGAUGACGCUGAGGAAGGUGGACGUGCACUGCACUGCUCGGAAGACCCCCCAGGCGUGGUCCUAAGUGCGAAGACGUGGAGGUCGGAGGCAAGCGACGAGGGGUCGAAUGGUUCGAUGUUUGAGCUCCAACAAUGUGCACUAAACUGACUGAACUUUGAUAAGUUGGCGCCUUUUUGUUUUUUCCCUUGCAUAUAUAUUGUAUUGCCUAAUACUCUUUUAAUUUUAGUAAACUCUUUAAAGUGUAUUUCAUAACGGUAUUUGUUGUGGGUUUGAUACUGUGGGCGGGCGCGAGGCAUAAACUCGAUUCUCACAGCACCUGCGUGUACGGGAGGUAGGUUGGUGAGUGGCUGGAUCUCCUUUUCCCCUAGACAUAUACCAGCCUGUUGGGUAAGUGUUACACACCUUUGCUCCGUCCGCAACAGGCAGGCUUUCUUGCUGGCAACCAUUUUAAUUCCACUCUCUAUUCCCAUUCCAACAUGUCUGUCCAUGGCCUCCUCUACUGCCACAAUGAGGUACUCUUAAUUUGGAGGAACAAUAUUCCAUUUGGGUAGCCUCCAACUUGACCUGCCUAUCACAUCCCUCUGGUGCCCAUCCUCCUUUCCUUUCUCCCAUGGCCCACUUUCAACCUAUCAGAUUCCUCCUUCUUCAGUUGCUUACCUUUUCCACCUAUCACCUCCCAGCUUUUCGCUUCAUCCCCCUUCCCCACACC
Molecule: long non-coding RNA, 1528 nt
Organism: Hypanus sabinus (Atlantic stingray)
Lineage: Eukaryota; Metazoa; Chordata; Chondrichthyes; Myliobatiformes; Dasyatidae
Exons: 3
Source: RefSeq, a predicted model, not a curated record